Molecule: ribosomal RNA, 450 nt
Filed under: uncultured Glomus
Lineage: Eukaryota; Fungi; Glomeromycota; Glomeromycetes; Glomerales; Glomeraceae
Description: SSU rRNA
Rfam family: Eukaryotic small subunit ribosomal RNA
Source: RNAcentral
AGCAGCCGCGGUAAUUCCAGCUCCAAUAGCGUAUAUUAAAGUUGUUGCAGUUAAAAAGCUCGUAGUUGAAUUUCGGGGUUAGUAGGUUGGUCAUGCCUCUGGUAUGUACUGGUCUCACUGAUUCCUCCUUCCCGAUGAACCUUAAUGCCAUUAAUUUGGUGUUUUGGGGAAUUUGGACUGUUACUUUGAAAAAAUUAGAGUGUUUAAAGCAAGCUAACGCUUGAAUACAUUAGCAUGGAAUAAUGAAAUAGGACGUUCGAUCCUAUUUUGUUGGUUUCUAGGAUUGACGUAAUGAUUAAUAGGGAUAGUUGGGGGCAUUAGUAUUCAAUUGUCAGAGGUGAAAUUCUUGGAUUUAUUGAAGACUAACUACUGCGAAAGCAUUUGCCAAGGAUGUUUUCAUUAAUCAAGAACGAAAGUUAGGGGAUCGAAGACGAUCAGAUACCGUCGUAG